Non-coding RNA from Otolemur garnettii (small-eared galago), 343 nucleotides. NCBI's taxonomy places the organism in Eukaryota, Metazoa, Chordata, Mammalia, Primates, Galagidae. The record is from Rfam.
GUUGGCUCACACCUGUAGUCCCAGCUACUCAGGAGGCUGAGACAGGGAUAGCUGGGACUACAGGUGCAACCUCACCACCUUGAGAACUCAAGGAUCACUUAAGUCCAGGAAUUCUGGGCUGUAAUGUGCUAUGCUGAUCUGGUGUCUGCACUAAGUUAGGCAUCAAUGUGGUGCCCUCCGAGGAGCAGUGGGCCACCAGGUUGCUUAAGGAGGGGUAAAGCGGCCCAAGUCAAAAACAGAGCAGGUCAAAAAUCCCUGUAGUGAUCAGUACUGGAUAGUGGGAUAGCACCUGUGAAUAGCCACUGUACUCUAGCCUGAGUGCAUAACAUAAGGAGAACCUGUU